Molecule: long non-coding RNA, 585 nt
Organism: Esox lucius (northern pike)
Lineage: Eukaryota; Metazoa; Chordata; Actinopteri; Esociformes; Esocidae
Source: Ensembl
AGGGGUUGUUCAAUGAGGCGAUGUCAUCGAAUGCAAAAUUGAUGAGUCAGUGCUCACCUGCUCCCAGUCAAGCAUGAAUCCUCAAAGGACGGAAGGCGUUUACUGAAGGUGUGGAACGCUCUCCCUGCCAAAGUGAUACAUUUAACCACUGUGGGGGAUGAACGUCAUGGGUUGACAGGACAUUGGGCAUUCAACAGCAGUUGGGGGCCCCUAUUCCAGCAGGCCCAGGAUGAAAAACAAACUUGGAUACUGCAUAUGAAAAAAUGAGUCACCAGAUUGUGACAGGACCUGGACAUCCCUGCUGACGAUGCCUUCCCCUCUCAGGACAAGACUGGUAAAAUUGCUUUACCCAUGUAAACCUUGGGGAGUUUGUUGUGAUGUUGUCGCUGUGCCUGGGAUUGAGAAAAAUAAUAGCACCAAUGAACAAAUGUAUGUUUACAAAGGCCUGCUGCAUAUACUUCAAAUUACCUAUCUGCACGGUUGAAUUACAAAAACUUGAUUUGCCAAACUUGUAUAUCUCAAGGCUCUUUGGGUCUCCACUGAGUUAGUUAAAUCCACAUUUAGUUUCAAAGCACCACAUUUGCC